This 72-nucleotide transfer RNA is filed under the name Heterocephalus glaber (naked mole-rat). It matches the Rfam family "tRNA". From Rfam's summary of the family: Transfer RNA (tRNA) molecules are approximately 80 nucleotides in length. Their secondary structure includes four short double-helical elements and three loops (D, anti-codon, and T loops). Lineage: Eukaryota; Metazoa; Chordata; Mammalia; Rodentia; Bathyergidae. The record is from Rfam by way of RNAcentral.
CGGGGUGUGGCUCAGUGGUAGAGCAUGUGCUUAGCAUGUGCAUGGCCCUGGUUUCCACCUCCAACACCCCCA